Molecule: non-coding RNA, 125 nt
Organism: Triticum aestivum (bread wheat)
Lineage: Eukaryota; Viridiplantae; Streptophyta; Magnoliopsida; Poales; Poaceae
Source: Rfam
CAUUUACUCCCUCCGUCCGGAAAUACUUGUUGGAGGAAUGGAUGUAUCUAAACUUAUUUUACUUUUAGAUACAUUCAUUUUUGUUCAUUUCUCAGACGAGUAAUUCCGGACUGAGGGAGUACUUU